UGACUAUAAAUAAUCGUAUAAAUUCGAUAAUAUGGAUCGAAAGUUUCUACCUACAAACCUUAAAUUUGUGGACUACGAGGUGUUUAUGUU
RNAcentral lists this non-coding RNA (90 nucleotides) under uncultured Niameybacter sp. RNAcentral describes it as "Purine riboswitch". The stretch from base 14 to 78 matches the Rfam family "Purine riboswitch aptamer", at positions 21 to 85 of the family's 102-position model. From Rfam's summary of the family: Riboswitches are metabolite binding domains within certain messenger RNAs that serve as precision sensors for their corresponding targets. Allosteric rearrangement of mRNA structure is mediated by ligand binding, and this results in modulation of gene expression. Lineage: Bacteria; Bacillati; Bacillota; Clostridia; Lachnospirales; Lachnospiraceae. The record is from RNAcentral.